AAUAUUGGACAAUGGGGGAAACCCUGAUCCAGCAAUGCCGCGUGAGUGAUGAAGGCCUUAGGGUUGUAAAGCUCUUUCGGUGGUGACGAUGAUGACGGUAACCACAGAAGAAGCCCCGGCUAACUUCGUGCCAGCAGCCGCGGUAAGACGAAGGGGGCUAGCGUUGUUCGGAAUUACUGGGCGUAAAGCGCACGUAGGCGGCCUUUCAAGUCAGAUGUGAAAGCCCCGAGCUUAACUCGGGAAAUGCAUUUGAUACUGUUGGGCUAGAGACCGGGAGAGGAUAGCGGAAUUCCCAGUGUAGAGGUGAAAUUCGUAGAUAUUCGGAAGAACACCAGUGGCGAAGGCGACUUACUGGACGACUGUUGACGCUGAGGUGCGAAAGCGUGGGGAGCAAAC
Molecule: ribosomal RNA, 396 nt
Filed under: uncultured bacterium
Lineage: Bacteria
Description: bacterial SSU rRNA
Rfam family: Bacterial small subunit ribosomal RNA
Source: RNAcentral